UUUUAAUAUAUGUGAACAUCUAAUUAUAGCUAAAGAUAAUUUGUGCUACAAUUAUCCUGCCUUCCUGCUAGGUCCUAGGCAGACGAACAAUCCCAGGAAAAAUCUGAACCCUGGGUCUUCUGUACUUCACUACACCCAGACUGAUCUUCUGCCCUGCUCCUGGAAAUCCAAGGGCAAAAAAGGUUCCACUCUGCUGGCAAUGCCUUAUUUUCCUUUGGUGAAAUGA
This 226-nucleotide long non-coding RNA is filed under the name Apteryx owenii (little spotted kiwi). Its description in RNAcentral is "lncRNA (ENSAOWG00000001606.1)". Lineage: Eukaryota; Metazoa; Chordata; Aves; Apterygiformes; Apterygidae. The record is from RNAcentral.